RNAcentral lists this long non-coding RNA (617 nucleotides) under Nicotiana tabacum (common tobacco). RNAcentral's name for it is "long non-coding RNA (NTAB_LNC004411)". Lineage: Eukaryota; Viridiplantae; Streptophyta; Magnoliopsida; Solanales; Solanaceae. The record is from RNAcentral.
UUCACUGUUUGUUUUUUUGUCAAACUCCAAACUUUCAUCGGUAUUUCCCAAAUUUUAAAGGAUAUAUAUGUAUGUGCCUUCAAUUCAAGACCCUGCUGAAACAAGUACAAAAACCCCCAAAUGUCAAUUUCGACUUCAGUUUUCCUUGGAGAGGAGAAGCCAAUCACUUGUCAAUUUCAAAAAAAUCAUCACAAUAGGCGAAUUUCGAAAGAUCAGAAAUAAAAAAUGAAUGCGAAAUCACAGUAGAAGAUCCAGCAAGCUUCAAUGAAGAACUUGUGGCAGUAUAUUUAGAUAUUAACUUUUUAGCUAUGAAAUAUGAAUGAGAUACGCACUAUAUUGGAAAAAAUAGAACAGAUCAUGGAAGAGAGAGAAACCUUGUGAUAGAAGCCGGUUGAUCACUACUGAUACAUUGAGUUGUAAAGAAAGAAACAUUCGUCAUUGACAUCCUUGAUUAUGUUAUGCCUAAGCAGUCACUUCUUUUUCAAUUUUUGCGCAAUGCUCCCUCGUGUUUGAAAUAUUCCAGUAUGCUCCUCUACACCUGGCAAAGACUGGCAAAGUACACCGAUGACGGACGAAAAUAAAAUUUACCAGAAUUGUUUUAGUUCUAUGCUAUGAUU